CAAAAAGUAGCUUACAAUAAAGCAUUCGACUUACACUCGAACGACAUUAUACUUAAUCUUUUUGA
RNAcentral lists this transfer RNA (65 nucleotides) under Orientocoluber spinalis (Slender racer). Its description in RNAcentral is "tRNA-Val". It matches the Rfam family "tRNA". Rfam says of the family: Transfer RNA (tRNA) molecules are approximately 80 nucleotides in length. Lineage: Eukaryota; Metazoa; Chordata; Lepidosauria; Squamata; Colubridae. The record is from RNAcentral.